GAUGAACGCUGGCGGCGUGCUUAACACAUGCAAGUCGAACGAACCUUCGGGUUAGUGGCGGACGGGUGAGUAACGCGUGAGAAUCUGCCCUCAGGAGGGGGAUAACAGCUGGAAACGGCUGCUAAUACCCCAUAUGCCGCGAGGUGAAAUGAAUUUCGCCUGAGGAUGAGCUCGCGUCUGAUUAGCUAGUUGGUGUAGGUAAUGGCUCACCAAGGCAUCGAUCAGUAGCUGGUCUGAGAGGAUGAUCAGCCACACUGGGACUGAGACACGGCCCAGACUCCUACGGGAGGCAGCAGUGGGGAAUUUUCCGCAAUGGGCGAAAGCCUGACGGAGCAACGCCGCGUGAGGGAUGAAGGCCUCUGGGCUGUAAACCUCUUUUAUCAAGGAAGAAGAUCUGACGGUACUUGAUGAAUAAGCCACGGCUAAUUCCGUG
Molecule: ribosomal RNA, 433 nt
Filed under: uncultured bacterium
Lineage: Bacteria
Description: bacterial SSU rRNA
Rfam family: Bacterial small subunit ribosomal RNA
Source: RNAcentral